Molecule: ribosomal RNA, 253 nt
Filed under: uncultured bacterium
Lineage: Bacteria
Description: partial 16S ribosomal RNA
Rfam family: Bacterial small subunit ribosomal RNA
Source: RNAcentral
UACGUAGGGCGCAAGCGUUAUCCGGAUUUAUUGGGCGUAAAGAGCUCGUAGGCGGCUCGUCGCGUCGACCGUGAAAACCCGCGGCUUAACUGCGGGCUUGCGGUUGAUACGGGCGGGCUAGAGUUCGGUAGGGGAGACUGGAAUUCCUGGUGUAGCGGUGAAAUGCGCAGAUAUCAGGAGGAACACCGGUGGCGAAGGCGGAUCUCUGGGCCUGUUCUGACGCUGAGGCGCGAAAGCUAGGGGAGCGAACAGG